Molecule: ribosomal RNA, 376 nt
Filed under: uncultured bacterium
Lineage: Bacteria
Description: bacterial SSU rRNA
Rfam family: Bacterial small subunit ribosomal RNA
Source: RNAcentral
GACGAACGCUGGCGGCGUGCUUAACACAUGCAAGUCGAGCGGUAAGGCCCUUUCGGGGGGUACACGAGCGGCGAACGGGUGAGUAACACGUGGGUGACCUGCCCUCAGCUCUGGGAUAAGCCUGGGAAACCGGGUCUAAUACUGGAUAUGACUCCAUGACGCAUGUUGUGGGGUGGAAAGCCUUGUGCGGCUGAGGAUGGGCCCGCGGCCUAUCAGCUUGUUGGUGGGGUGAUGGCCUACCAAGGCGACGACGGGUAGCCGGCCUGAGAGGGCGACCGGCCACACUGGGACUGAGACACGGCCCAGACUCCUACGGGAGGCAGCAGUGGGGAAUCUUGCGCAAUGGGCGAAAGCCUGACGCAGCGACGCCGCGUGA